CGUGUGCGAAGGUUGCGGCCAAGAGCAAACGAAAUCGCGUAUGUGCCGCGACAAGACAGCUGAUGACUAAUUUCUGAUGCACGCGUUUACCUCAUUGCGGUGAAGUGUCGUGAAACAUCCGGAGAUCAUUAUCUCACCCAUGGAAAAUUGUGCGAUGUAUUUUUAAAACGCUCGUUUGCCACGCGCGUUAUCACUUCCCGGUAGAUUAAUCGGUCAUAAUGACCGAUACUUAAGACAUACAUUAUGUCUCAUAAUAAAAGAAAAUGUCGUUAACGACACAUUUAUGAUAUAAUAUAAUCAAACGGCAGUGUGAUCGGAAACGAUGAGCACUAUUUCAAAUUUUAUAGGUGAUAUAUUUAAUAAUAUAAUAUUUUACCAAUGUCUCAUACAGUUACGUAUCCUCAAGUGAUUUGCGUUACCAUAAUUUAAUCUCUCGUGCACGGUGCUUAGUUCGAGAAUAAUAAAACCGUACUAAAGAUAAUUGUAUUUUGUAACAUUCCUCUGCUGCGUGCGUAAAACUCGCACAUGCGAAUUUUUUACGACGUGGCGGAAAAUGGCUAGAAUUUUAUUAUUUCCGAAAGUAAUAAAAGAUUGUGCGCGUACAUCAUCCGUGUACAUCAUUCAAUAUUGAAAUUGCGCAUCCUUAUCUCGCUCCAAUCUCCUGCGCAAAUCUAAUCAUAAAAAUAACUUCGCGUUCUCUAGCCUUCGUUCUAAUAAAAAAAUUAAUACCGUGCUCUCCAACGCGUUACUCGAAUCACCGUGAAAAUCUGAGCUGUUUGCACAAUGCGAGAAAUUUUUUCACGCAUUGGGUAUCACGCGCAGGUCAGCUAAGCAGAAACGUGCGUAUCGUGAUCCCGGUUAACGUACACGAGAGACUUUUAUGCAGGAGGAGAUAAGGAUAAAGAUUCGCCUUACUCAUGCAGUUUAAUAUAAAACAAAUCGAAUCAUCUGGAAUCGACCGGCGACGUACCCGGCGAUGCGCAGUUCUUUAUUUAUUCGCGCGGCGGGCCAUAUAAUUCAUUGAAUAACCGGCCGGUUCCGGCAGGGAUGCUACAUCGGAGAAAUAUAAAAUAUAUUCUUUCAUUUCCCCGGGGACUUCCGGGGAAGCUUAGCGCGCGUGGGCUAUCUCUCCCGCGCGCGCUAAACGGGAAAGGUAGUCCUCUCACGAUUGGACCCACUCGCUGGCAGAGACGAUCACCUUCUCUCUCUGUCUCUGUCCGCGGAUUAAUCUAUCCCUUAUCCCGUUUAUCCCGCUCUUCCCGUUUCUCGGAAAACGUGAAGCUAAAAACGAUGACACGUAUCUUCGCGGCGCGGGGAGCGAGGACACUAUCCUCCUCCUCCCCUACCUACGUUUUCCCUCCACCGCCGCCAACCUGCCGGGGUACUUAUGGAGUCUCUCGCAGAUUAACUUUUGAUACGCGUCUCCAGUCUCCGUGCAAGCGCCAAUUCGUACGUGUGCGCGAACGUGACACGUUCACCCGCUGCCGAUUAUUAAAUUUGUAUUAGCACCGGUGAGUCCCGCGCUCGUAAAGCGUAAUUUGACUGGUAACCCGGAGGUGAAGGCGUUACACAGGCGGAAUCGUGGUAACGUAACGAAAACGAAGAGGAUCCGUUGGUGACGAGGAGAAAGAGGAAGAGAGAGAAGGAGAGACGAAGACAGAGACGAAGAGGAACCAAGAGUGGAACAUUCCCAUUUUCACGUGAGACGGUACAAAGGACAUCCGAUAUCCAAAAUGCAUCUCUCGGCAUCACUCUUCCUUAUCAUGCUGUGCGUCCUGGUUCAUUCGGCGGUCGGCAUCCAAGAGAUGGUAAACUCCGAUUCCGUUUACUUCCCUGAUCAAGCGGAUUACAUCAAGCUUGCCACAAAGUGUCCGAGCGACACGAUACUGUGGCCUGCGAACCGUCGGUGCUACAAAGAGGGUGAGCAAGGUCCCUGCAACGUCGGUCGGGUGCUGCUGUUCGACCGUCGGUUACUGCGACCGUACUGCAAGGAUAUCAUGUUCUAAAGGACUAUCCGUGCUAUACCACAGCGAACAGCCGGGUGUAACCAACUGCCAAACGACCAACUGCAGUUUAAUCCGCCACCUGCUGCGAUUCGUUGCACGAUAGGUGACGGCAGCGACCGCGAAUUUCCCGUUCGAGAGGCUCAAUUAUAUGUUUCGACACGGACAAAAAUAUUUGUUCAAGCAAAGAGAAAACGCGUAGAUAUUUAUUAAUGGAAUUAUAAAUACUCGUAUAAUGGAAUUGUAAAUACUCGUAGCGACGGCGUCGCGUUCGAUAUCAAAAAUAAUAUCCCUGCGUAAACGCAAAGGAGUUGCAUCGGACGUUUGCGUAAGGCAGAUCCAUGCUGUUUCUCUAGGCAGAAUUUUUUAAUUUGUUAAUAAAAGCGAACUCGCAGGAGAGAAGCUCAAAUCAAAUGUUAGUCUGAUAAUUAGCGUGAUACCUCAAUUUUUAUUUAAAUAUUAAUGCCAUGUCACGUGUGAUUGUAUAUGAAAUAUUUACGAGAUUUAUGCUCGAAGUAAUCUCUUGUGCCUUAGUUUGUCUAGAUUUUUAUUGUUAAUUAUUAUAUUAUAAUCAUAUUCUUCGUGUGGCGUGUGUAUGUGUGAAUUGAAUUUUCCAACUGACUCGCGCGUCAUUUAACAUUUAGAGAAAUACGCUUUAAUUGACUGCAUAAAAUAUAGAUCUGAUAGAUUAGAUUCUUUUUAUGCUCUAUUCUCAACUUAGUAUGUAGCUCAUGAAUUUUUACUGCUACUAUUCAUAGAAAAUGAUAGAUGUAUUUAUUUAAAAUCCAUGUAAUGCCAAUAAUUUUCCAUCUAUAAAAGAUAACUGUAGUUUAGUAAGUAUUUAUAUUUACAUUUUGAUAUUACCAGAGAGUUAUUAAUUAUUAUUGAUAGCGAUUGAAAUAGCAAUUAUUCUGCUGAUUUGUAUUUAUGUAAUAAAAUUUUUAUUGUCGCAAAAUAUAUCAAAUAAUAGCAAA
Molecule: long non-coding RNA, 2977 nt
Organism: Ooceraea biroi (clonal raider ant)
Lineage: Eukaryota; Metazoa; Arthropoda; Insecta; Hymenoptera; Formicidae
Source: RefSeq, a predicted model, not a curated record